AUUGAACGCUGGCGGCAGGCCUAACACAUGCAAGUCGAACGAGUGGCGGACGGGUGAGUAAUGUCUGGGCAACUGCCUGAUGGAGGGGGAUAACUACUGGAAACGGUAGCUAAUACCGCAUACCAUCGGAUGUGCCCAGCUGGGAUUAGCUAGUAGGGGGGGUAAAGGCUCACCUAGGCGACGAUCCCUCGCUGGUAUGAGAGGAUGACCAGCCACACUGGAACUGGGACACGGUCAAACCUCCUACGGGAGGCAGCAUUGGGGAAUAUUGGACAAUGGGGGAAAGCCGGAUCCAGCAAGGCCGCGUGUGUGAAGAAGGUUUUCGGAUUGUAAAGCACUUUAAGUUGGGAGGCGUUACCAACAGAAUAAGCACCGGCUAACUUCGUGCCAGCAGCCGCGGUAAUAC
Molecule: ribosomal RNA, 406 nt
Filed under: uncultured bacterium
Lineage: Bacteria
Description: partial 16S ribosomal RNA
Rfam family: Bacterial small subunit ribosomal RNA
Source: RNAcentral